RNAcentral lists this ribosomal RNA (448 nucleotides) under Escherichia coli. Its description in RNAcentral is "partial 23S ribosomal RNA". It matches the Rfam family "Bacterial large subunit ribosomal RNA", at positions 165 to 652 of the family's 2925-position model. Lineage: Bacteria; Pseudomonadati; Pseudomonadota; Gammaproteobacteria; Enterobacterales; Enterobacteriaceae. The record is from RNAcentral.
CAUAGGUUAAUGAGGCGAACCGGGGGAACUGAAACAUCUAAGUACCCCGAGGAAAAGAAAUCAACCGAGAUUCCCCCAGUAGCGGCGAGCGAACGGGGAGGAGCCCAGAGCCUGAAUCAGUGUGUGUGUUAGUGGAAGCGUCUGGAAAGGCGCGCGAUACAGGGUGACAGCCCCGUACACAAAAAUGCACAUAUUGUGAGCUCGAUGAGUAGGGCGGGACACGUGGUAUCCUGUCUGAAUAUGGGGGGACCAUCCUCCAAGGCUAAAUACUCCUGACUGACCGAUAGUGAACCAGUACCGUGAGGGAAAGGCGAAAAGAACCCCGGCGAGGGGAGUGAAAAAGAACCUGAAACCGUGUACGUACAAGCAGUGGGAGCCUCUUUAUGGGGUGACUGCGUACCUUUUGUAUAAUGGGUCAGCGACUUAUAUUCUGUAGCAAGGUUAACCG